Molecule: long non-coding RNA, 1435 nt
Filed under: Sus scrofa (pig)
Lineage: Eukaryota; Metazoa; Chordata; Mammalia; Artiodactyla; Suidae
Description: lncRNA (ENSSSCG00050003749.1)
Source: RNAcentral
AGGUGAAUGACCUUCAUCUGAAAUCUGUGCCCCAGCUGUGAGGGUGGUGUGUUGGGGAUGAAGAGAGAUAGAGAAAAAAAGGGGGCAUUAACUCAGGAGAGAUACCUCCCUGCCCCCAUUCAGCUGGGGGUGUGGGGGGGUGAUGGCAAUUCUAACCUACACCUCACAGUGGCUUCCUUUAGUGCUUAGAAUCCUCUAGACUCUUCCAGAGCUGCCUGCUUCUGGUCUUCAUAUCAAAUAAACUUGAUGAGAAUCAAGCCUGCAGGGGUUCCAGCACCACCCCCUUGUUCAGCCUCACCUUCUAUCUGAAAGACUCCUCCUCUGCCCAGGUCGUCUUUGUUACUUUGUUUGUCACCUCCUCCAGGAAGCCUUCCUUACCCAAGAUAGGUGGAGGGGUUACCUCUUCCUGGCCUCUAUCUUUGAAGUAUGGUCUUUUACCACACUGCCUCCCCACCCCCCACUUCCCUGAGAGCAGAGGCUGAAUUAGGGGUGUGGUUCAAGGCAACUUGGGGGUUUCUAGGACCCAAUGAUUCCAGACCUGACGUCUAGGUCCCGGUUUUCCAGGUGUUGGAUGAGUGAUUCUGGGAGCCCCCAAGCUCCAGCUGGAUCCCUGGCGAGGAGCUGGGGUCACUGACGCCUGUGUUGUCUGCUGAGCAGCGCAGAGUUGCGCUUGCUCGGGCCCCAGAGCUCACCCACUCGCUCACUGGCCACCGUUCCCACCGUUAGCAGAGCUGGGAGCGCGCCCAGGCGGAUGGGUUCCUAAUGAGAACAUAAUUACCCAGAUGGAGAGAGAGCCUCACCCUGCUCCUUAAUUGUUGCCUUAGUGGGGUGGUGGAGGAGGAGAGCGCUGGGCAGAGCGAGGGGGCUGGACGUUUCCACACGUUCUGGGUGGGGCCCUGGGACCCGUUCGACUCACCUGAGGAUGAAGACCCGGAGAUGUGGGCGCGCCCCGGAGAUCGACUCCUGGAGUUCCGUGCGACCUGAAACUAACCCUUCCCUGGAUCUGAACCUCAUUUUUCUCAACUCCCAAAUUCAAGGGGUGCCUAGAAGAUGUCUAGUUUCCUCCAGGAAGAACACAAAUUCCUUGUGGCCUGAUGAUACUUAUUUGUGCAUUCAUCUGGAGAUCUUAAUAAAAUGAAGAUUUUGAUUCUUUAAAUCUAGGUUGGGGCUUGAGAUUUUCCAAUUCUAAUAAGCUUUCUGUUUAUUUUUUCAUUUUUUUAAAGUUUUAUUGCAGUAAAGUUGACUUACAAUGUUGUGAUAAUUUCUGCUGUCCAACAAAGUGACUCCGUUCUGUAUGUACACACAUCCAUUCCUCUUUAGAACUGAAUUUAAAAGAAUUUUUCAAGUGUAACAGUCUUUGCAAAAUUCUACAUGGUGAACUCACUACAGACGACACUUGAGUAGCAAUGGUAUAAGACCACAUAUGUCCCACAGC